AUUGAACGCUGGCGGCAGGCCUAACACAUGCAAGUCGAGCGGAUGAAGGGAGCUUGCUCCUGGAUUCAGCGGCGGACGGGUGAGUAAUGCCUAGGAAUCUGCCUGGUAGUGGGGGAUAACGUCCGGAAACGGGCGCUAAUACCGCAUACGUCCUGAGGGAGAAAGUGGGGGAUCUUCGGACCUCACGCUAUCAGAUGAGCCUAGGUCGGAUUAGCUAGUUGGUGGGGUAAAGGCCUACCAAGGCGACGAUCCGUAACUGGUCUGAGAGGAUGAUCAGUCACACUGGAACUGAGACACGGUCCAUACUCCUACGGGAGGCAGCAGUGGGGAAUAGUGGACAAUGGGCGAAAGCAUGAUCCAGCCAUGCCGCGUGUGUGAAGAAGGUCUUCGGAGUGUAAAGCACUUUAAGUUGGGAGGAAGGGCAGUAAGUUAAUACCUUGCUGUUUUGACGUUACCAACAGAAGAAGCACCGGCUAACUUCGUG
This 484-nucleotide ribosomal RNA is filed under the name uncultured bacterium. RNAcentral describes it as "partial 16S ribosomal RNA". It matches the Rfam family "Bacterial small subunit ribosomal RNA", at positions 30 to 507 of the family's 1533-position model. The record is from RNAcentral.